This is a long non-coding RNA of Callorhinchus milii (elephant shark), 1428 nucleotides long. RefSeq lists it as uncharacterized. The transcript has 3 exons. The record is from RefSeq and is a predicted model, not a curated record. NCBI's taxonomy places the organism in Eukaryota, Metazoa, Chordata, Chondrichthyes, Chimaeriformes, Callorhinchidae.
AGGAGCUACAGGGGUAUGAGAAGCGGGUGCCGGAGCCUCGCCGCGCGGAGGGGGUCAGUCAGGAGGUGGUGAUGGGAUUCAUGUGGCUUGGAGUUGAACUGGCCCAAAGGUGACAUGUCUCGAAAUGGAAUUUCGGAAUCAAGCCGGGUCUCUGACAGUCUCUAUUCCGAUUCCUGAGCCAGGCAGAGAGGGACAAUGCUCUGGAGCGAACGUUGCUGAGAUGGAAGAACAGAACAAUUGAUAAUAAACCCGGCAUACAUUGCUUGCGUCGUCUCAAAGCGUUUCACACAGACCUUGGCUUAGAGUCUCACCAACAAUGUCAUGCUCCCUCCAGCACUUGCACUGGAGCAUCAGCCUGGAUUGCGAACCCAGAGUAAAGUGUAGUGACUGUAUGUGACAUGGGAGGCACCUUCACCUAAGUGCAUUUUUCUCUCUCUCUUCCCCCCCCCCGGUAACUACAUUGUUACAUCGCCUGCAUCGUCUUAAAGCGCUUCACUUGGAAUUGCUUUGAGAUGUCCUCUCGAAGGCAAUGUGUAUUGAAUUUGGUCAGAGACUCAGAUGAUCAAUUGUGGUGUUGGGUGCGAGUUAAAGGAGAAUUGACAGAAACUCACUGUGAGGUCAGCCGGGUUGUAAAUCCUUUUAAACCAGAACAGUUUAGCAGGAAGGCAUGGGUGGUGAGGAAAUAAAUAUUAGCAAUAGACGCCUUUGCCCUACAAAAACAAUCCAGCAAAAUACACAUGGCUGGCUGGAUGGGGGCACUCAGCAAAGGGGAGGCGUGGGAAGGAGGUGGAUGGAUUAAGAGAGGAAAAGGGAAAAAAAAGGCACACAAAAUAGUCUCCUUUGCAUUUACAAAUAGAAUAAUUCCUGGUUUUGAUUUAGUUUUGACAGUUUGAUUUAGUUUUGACAGUUUUUCUCCUUUAAAACAUAGUUGUGUUGGUUCCGAAUGAAUGGGUCUCACUACUGUACCACGUCCGUCAGUAUUACUUUUUUUAAAAAGAAAAAAGAAAAUAAAGAUUUGUUGUGUUUGGAUACAGAAAGUGCAGCCUAACCCGGGAUUUGGGGGCAUUUUAUUCAAAAGAGAGUUUAUUCCGAGCCCCCUGUUUCCCUCCUCCGGCGGAUAUUUGAGAAUCUUGGGUUUUAGCAGGAUAAAUAGCUCAGAGUUUCCCCUUGGAACGGACAGAAUUCUAAAUACUUCUCCAAGGAACAUAAACACUGAGGGAUAUCAUUCCUGCCUCUCUUUUUCAGGCUGACGGGAAAAAAAAUUGCUGAGUGCUCCUAAAAACCUGCCGGCGACAUGUUAACCCUUUCUAAGCCCACACUUACACUAGAUUUAGGCUUUAUGACCCCAGUUAGGCUGCACCCGCAUUCAAUAAAACUUCAUUUUAAUUUACAUUUGGAAUAGCACCAUAUCAUGUUGAAAUGUCUCAA